Molecule: ribosomal RNA, 468 nt
Filed under: uncultured bacterium
Lineage: Bacteria
Description: partial 16S ribosomal RNA
Rfam family: Bacterial small subunit ribosomal RNA
Source: RNAcentral
GACGAACGAGGGUGGCGUGCUUAACACAUGCAAGUCGAACGGAAAGGCCCUGCUUUUGUGGGGUGCUCGAGUGGCGAACGGGUGAGUAACACGUGAGUAACCUGCCCUUGACUUUGGGAUAACUUCAGGAAACUGGGGCUAAUACCGGAUAGGAGCUCCUGCUGCAUGGUGGGGGUUGGAAAGUUUCGGCGGUUGGGGAUGGACUCGCGGCUUAUCAGCUUGUUGGUGGGGUAGUGGCUUACCAAGGCUUUGACGGGUAGCCGGCCUGAGAGGGUGACCGGCCACAUUGGGACUGAGAUACGGCCCAGACUCCUACGGGAGGCAGCAGUGGGGUAUAUUGCACAAUGGGCGGAAGCCUGAUGCAGCAACGCCGCGUGCGGGAUGACGGCCUUCGGGUUGUAAACCGCUUUCGCCUGUGACGAAGCGUGAGUGACGGUAAUGGGUAAAGAAGCACCGGCUAACUACGUG